Molecule: non-coding RNA, 748 nt
Filed under: Anthaxia chinensis
Lineage: Eukaryota; Metazoa; Arthropoda; Insecta; Coleoptera; Buprestidae
Source: RNAcentral
GGUAUUUAUUAUACAUGUAUAUUUUAGUGGGAAAAAUCUUGGCUUUUAAGAGGUUAUAAAAAUUUUAUUCGCAGUAUUUAGUUUUAAAUAUUUAGGAAACUAAGAUUUAGUUAUUUAUUAAAGUAUUAACAAAAUUUGUGCCAGCAGUUGCGGUUAUACAGAUAAUACAAUUAAAUUUUUUUGGUAAGUAGUUAAUUAAAAUUUAUUUUAGGAAAAAUUUAACUUUGGGAGGUGAAAUUUUAAGGUUAAUGAUAGCUUAGAAAAAAAAUUAUGAGACUACGAAAUUUUUUUUUAAACUAGGAUUAGAUACCCUAUUAUUUUGAAUGUAAAUUUUUUUACCGGAUUAGUAUUAGUUAUGCUCUUGAAAAUAAAAGAUUUUGGCGGUAUUUUAGUCUUUUCAGAGGAACCUGUUCUGUAAUUGAUAAUCCACGAUUAAUUAUACUUAAUUUAUUAGUUUGUAUAUCGUCGUCGUUGAAUAUUUUAGAAGAAAGUAAAUGUUCAUUUUUUUUUUUAUUAAAAAUAAAAAUCAGAUCAAGAUGCAGCUUAUAAUUAAGAAGAAAUGGGUUACAAUAAAUUUAUUUAUAUGGUUUAUGAUUUGAAAAAUUUUAUUAAAUUGGAUUUGAAAGUAAAUAUUUUUAUAUUAAGAUAUUGAUUUAGCUCUAAAAUAAGUACAUAUUGCCCGUCGUUUUCAUUUAAGAUGAAAAAAGUCGUAACAGAGUAGGUGUACUGGAAAGUGUGCCUAGAAAGA